This 1098-nucleotide ribosomal RNA is filed under the name Triticum aestivum (bread wheat). Its description in RNAcentral is "partial small subunit ribosomal RNA". Lineage: Eukaryota; Viridiplantae; Streptophyta; Magnoliopsida; Poales; Poaceae. The record is from RNAcentral.
AUGCCGACAUGCUUGAUCUCUCGGUUGCAAGCACGCACGGCCAGCGACGGUGCAUGCGCGAGUGGUUGGAUCUUGAUCAUGUUCAUCAUGAUGCGUUUGAUGGUUUCUCGGCUGAUCCUGCAGGAAUACGUGAGGAAUCCGAGGGGGGUGCAGCUCUUCACAUGCGGCUGGCUGCCCGCUUCUUCCUCGCCCAAGGCGCUCGUCUUCCUUUGCCAUGCGUGCGGGUUCAAGUUGGCCGCGGCGGGGUACGGCGUGUUCGGCAUCGACUACGAAGGCCACGGCAAGUCCAUGGGCGCCAGAUGCUACAUCCAGAAGUUUGACCGCCUCGUCGCCGACUGCGACCGCUUCUUCAAGUCCAUCUGCGACAUGGAGGAGUACCGGAGCAAGAGCCGGUUCCUGUACGGCGAGUCCAUGGGCGGCGCCGUCGCCCUGCUGCUGCACAGGAGGGACCCGGCCUUCUGGGACGGCGCCGUCCUCGUGGCGCCCAUGUGCAAGAUAUCGGAGAAGGUGAAGCCGCAUCCGGUGGUGGUGACCCUGCUGACGCAGGUGGAGGAGCUCAUCCCGACCUGGAAGAUCGUGCCCACCAAGGACGUGAUCGACUCCGCCUUCAAGGACCCCCUCAAGCGCGAGCACAUCAGGAGGAACAAGCUCAUCUACCAGGACAAGCCGCGGCUCAAGACGGCGCUGGAGCUGCUCAGGACCAGCAUGGACGUCGAGGACAGCCUCGCCGAGGUGAGCAUGCCCUUCUUCAUCCUGCACGGCGAGGCCGACACCGUCACCGACCCGGAGGUCAGCCGCGCGCUCUACGACCGGGCCGCCAGCGCCGACAAGACCAUCAAGCUCUACCCCGGGAUGUGGCACGGCCUCACCGCCGGCGAGCCCGACGACAAUGUGGAGCUGGUCUUUGCCGACAUCGUCGCCUGGCUCAACAAGCGCAGCCAUCAUCGCAAACCUGAACACGGCGGCCGGGUAGGAAGUGCCCCGUCGGAGCCUGCAAGGUACCAACGGCGGCCGGUUUCCGGCGGCAGCGGCAUGGACAGCCCGGUGUCGAUACCUCGGCGGCGAGGUGGCUUCCUCUGCGGGCAAUGUAGAAUGUAA